GCGCCGUCGGGGCCCUACCGGGGUGUCGCGCGCCCGGCGAGCGUGUUCGCGAUGGAGACGAUGUUCGACGCGGCGGCGGCGCA
RNAcentral lists this transfer RNA (83 nucleotides) under Pseudonocardia autotrophica. Its description in RNAcentral is "tRNA-Ala". Lineage: Bacteria; Bacillati; Actinomycetota; Actinomycetes; Pseudonocardiales; Pseudonocardiaceae. The record is from RNAcentral.